RNAcentral lists this long non-coding RNA (237 nucleotides) under Gallus gallus (chicken). The record is from RNAcentral. Lineage: Eukaryota; Metazoa; Chordata; Aves; Galliformes; Phasianidae.
CUCUGCUCACUGCUGGACUGAUAAACUUUAACAGAAACCUCCUUGCAGUGAAAUUUUAGUAGGUGAGUUUGGUCGGUAAAUGUCAUGUGCUCCUGCAAAUAAUUUCAUGAAGUAGAUAAUGUUAUAAUGUGUAUAUGUAUAUAAAAUGACUUGUAGUAAUGUUUUCUAUACCACAAGAGUAAAAUUUGUACUUUAUGAUCUCAAAGUAGAUAAGCAGCCUUUGUGGUCUGAGUCAGU